GGUUCGAUGGUGUAGUUGGUUAUCACGUUCGCCUCACACAUGUGUAGUCCGCGAAAGGUCGCGAGUUCGAGCCUCGCUUGAAUCA
This is a non-coding RNA of Alternaria infectoria, 85 nucleotides long. NCBI's taxonomy places the organism in Eukaryota, Fungi, Ascomycota, Dothideomycetes, Pleosporales, Pleosporaceae. The record is from the annotation of a RefSeq genome assembly.